CUUCUUACGUCUCUGAUUAACAUUUAGGGCUUUCGUCUCGUUCUUUUAGGGUUUAUUAUUAUUGUUUGUUUUCACCUUGUCAUUGGUGCAAAGGUGUUUGAAAGCACAAAUCGUAAUUUUCUCAAUUUGUCUUUUGGGUUUUGAAAGGGGGACAAAAAUGACUAAGAUUUUAUUGUAUUUUCCGUGUAAUUUUCUUCCCGUUUUAUGCUUGUUGUUGUGCUGGUGAUCAUGGUUACCAGUUUAAAUCAAAACAUGAAAGGAAAGUCAUUCUUCUUCGUAGUUGGCAGGCAACUGGUAAAAAACGAUGUGGAUUUUUAGGUGAGGAAAUGGCGGGUAACUCAAAAGGGGUGGUGAAAAUGCAUACAAAAGAUUGCUAAAACUGUUUCUUCUCUCUCCACCCCCCCCCCCCCCCCCCCCCCCCUCUCCUCUUCUUGGUGAAUAGAUUGCCGAAACUGUUGUGCUUAAAAUUGAUGUCAUGUUUCAAGCUUUAUGUUGUGAAAUUAAGAUUCCUGCUUUGCAAACUAUGUAUUAUGUGCAUGCAAUUGUUGUUAUGUGUUUGCUCUUUUAAAUUUAAAUUGGUUGUCAAGUGAGUACUUUUCUGUAUGCUACCUGUUUCUGGAGCAAAUUGGCUGUCAAGUGAGCAUUUUCCUUUAUGCUACCUGUUUCUGAAGCAAAUUGGUUGUCAAGUUAUAGAUAAUGGAUGCCAUUGCAUAAUAGCUGUUAUGGACAAUAUAAGGAAUAUUAUUACCUGGAUGAUGUGCAUGAAUAUAGGAUGCAAUUACCUAGAUGUCAACUAUUUAAUUGUGACUUUUGAUUGUAUCCUUUUGUUAUUGUGGUUUUCCUUUUCUGUUUAAGUUAGAAACUUUGUUUUUCUUCUUAUUUUCCUCUGGAAUUUUAACACUCAGAAUUAUGCUGCUGCUGUUGUUAUUCAUAUUCCCAAGAAUGUUAAACUUGCCACUGGUUGCAGGCUUCCCUGCUGAUUUGCUUUCUCUGGCUGGUAUGUACCUAGAUGGUGUGUACUACAUUUAGGUUUCUCUGUCUUUCUUCUCCUUUUAUAUUAUGCUGCUGCUGUUGUUAUUCAUAUUCCCAAGAAUGUUAAACUUGCCACUGGUUGCAGGCUUCCCUGCUGAUUUGCUUUCUCUGGCUGGUACAUACCUAGAUGGUGUGUACUACAUUUAGGUUUCUCCAUCUUUCUUCUCCUUUUAUAUUAUGCUGCUGCUGUUGUUAUUCAUAUUCCCAAGAAUUUUGUAAACUUGCCACUGGUUGUAGGCUUCCCUGCUGAUUUGCUUUCUCUUGCUACUACAUACCUAGAUGGUGUUAUUACAUUUAGGUUCCCUGUAUUUCUUCUCGUUUUAUAUUUUUAAGAUUCAAGUCUUGUUCAUGUGAUGUAUAUAACUGUUUAACCCACCUAGUCUUUUUUGAUUCUCAGUUGUUGAAUUCAUAAAUUUGGAUGGGAACUAAUGUGAAGAUCAGAAAGGCAUCUGAAUAGACUUUGAAUUGUUCAACUCCAGAAAAAGUUUCUGAAUUUUGGUUGGCAAGGAGAGCAAGUUGCCUUCAAGCAUGCCUAAUGCGCGCUCACUUUGCAAAGCUGUAGCUUCAAAAACUGUUAGUUGUGGCCUAUGUGACAUAUGCACGGGCUGGAAGAAUACAGCAUACAAGUACUUCCUACUGCCAUGACAUUGCAAGUUAUCCUCAUUUUUCGUCAAUUUUAUAUCUUUGCUUCUUAUAUUUGGAUUUUUCUCUUAGAACUUAUCUCUUGCUUAGCUGCACAUGUACAUGUUUUUGCAAGAUAAUCGCUGAUAUUUUCUUUUUGGGUUUUUGUAGUUAUUACAGGUUGUAUUUGGCUUCACUCUCUGAACAACAGAAGACUUUUCAUGGAUGUAUCAAUAAGAAAAUGUGAGGGGUGUAUAAUUGUUGUAAAACAAGAUUUGAGUCCUGCUAUGAUAACUGUUAUUACAAAAAAAAAAAAAAAAAAAAAAAAAAGAAAUUUUUGGUGUUUGGGACAAUCACGUGGGGAUUGCCCCGGGUUCUCUUCCCUCUUGUGUGGGAUGGUGCGCUGUGUGUGUCUUUUCUUAGUCUCUCAUUUGCUUUCUUUCC
Ziziphus jujuba (common jujube) is the source of this 2097-nucleotide long non-coding RNA. RefSeq lists it as uncharacterized. The transcript has 2 exons. The record is from RefSeq and is a predicted model, not a curated record. NCBI's taxonomy places the organism in Eukaryota, Viridiplantae, Streptophyta, Magnoliopsida, Rosales, Rhamnaceae.